AGCGAACGCUGGCGGCGUGCCUAAUACAUGCAAGUCGAACGUGAAAGGCUUCGGCCUAGUAAAGUGGCGUACGGGUGAGUAACACGUAGGUAAUCUACCUAAAGGUGUGGAAUAACCUGCCGAAAGGCGGGCUAAUACCGCAUAGAGCGAGGGCUUCUCAGGAAGUCCUCGGGAAAGGGAGCUCGCAAGGGCCCUCGCCUUCUGAUGAGCCUGCGUCCCAUUAGCUAGUUGGUAGGGUAAUGGCCUACCAAGGCAAUGAUGGGUAGCUGGUCUAAGAGGAUGAUCAGCCACACUGGAACUGAAACACGGUCCAGACUCCUACGGGAGGCAGCAGUAGGGAAUAUUGCGCAAUGGACGCAAGUCUGACGCAGCAACGCCGCGUGAGUGAAGAAGGCCUUCGGGUUGUAAAGCUCUGUCUAGUGGGAAGAACAGCCGGUCAGUUAACAGCUGAUCGGUCUGACGGUACUACUGGAGGAAGCACCGGCUAACUCCGUGCCAGCAGCCGCAGUAA
This 511-nucleotide ribosomal RNA is filed under the name uncultured bacterium. Its description in RNAcentral is "partial 16S ribosomal RNA". It matches the Rfam family "Bacterial small subunit ribosomal RNA", at positions 29 to 523 of the family's 1533-position model. The record is from RNAcentral.